Molecule: ribosomal RNA, 300 nt
Filed under: Salmonella enterica subsp. enterica serovar Senftenberg
Lineage: Bacteria; Pseudomonadati; Pseudomonadota; Gammaproteobacteria; Enterobacterales; Enterobacteriaceae
Also listed under: 4 other names
Description: partial 23S ribosomal RNA
Rfam family: Bacterial large subunit ribosomal RNA
Source: RNAcentral
AAGGCGAGGCCGAAAGGCGUAGUCGAUGGGAAACGGGUUAAUAUUCCCGUACUUGGUGUUACUGCGAAGGGGGGACGGAGAAGGCUAUGUUGGCCGGGCGACGGUUGUCCCGGUUUAAGCGUGUAGGUGUGUGUUCCAGGUAAAUCCGGUUCACUUUAACACUGAGGCGUGAUGACGAGGCACUACGGUGCUGAAGCAACAAAUGCCCUGCUUCCAGGAAAAGCCUCUAAGCAUCAGGUAACAUCAAAUCGUACCCCAAACCGACACAGGUGGUCAGGUAGAGAAUACCAAGGCGCUUGA